RNAcentral lists this ribosomal RNA (496 nucleotides) under uncultured bacterium. Its description in RNAcentral is "partial 16S ribosomal RNA". It matches the Rfam family "Bacterial small subunit ribosomal RNA", at positions 28 to 506 of the family's 1533-position model. The record is from RNAcentral.
GAUGAACGCUGGCGGCGUGCCUAAUACAUGCAAGUCGAGCGAACAGACGAGGAGCUUGCUCCUUCGACGUUAGCGGCGGACGGGUGAGUAACACGUAGGUAACCUACCUAUAAGACUGGGAUAACUUCGGGAAACCGGAGCUAAUACCGGAUAAUAUUUCGAACCGCAUGGUUCGAUAGUGAAAGAUGGCUUUGCUAUCACUUAUAGAUGGACCUGCGCCGUAUUAGCUAGUUGGUAAGGUAACGGCUUACCAAGGCAACGAUACGUAGCCGACCUGAGAGGGGGAUCGGCCAAACUGGAACUGAGACACGGUCCAGACCCCUACGGGGGGCAGCAGUGGGGAAUCUUCCGCAAGGGGCGAAAGCCUGACGGGGCAACGCCGCGUGAGGGAUGAAGGUCUUCGGAUCGUAAAACUCUGUUAUUAGGGAAGAAAAAACGUGUAAGUAACUGUGACCGUCUGGACGGUACCAAAUCAAAAAGCCACGGCAAACUACGG